Molecule: long non-coding RNA, 2591 nt
Filed under: Homo sapiens (human)
Lineage: Eukaryota; Metazoa; Chordata; Mammalia; Primates; Hominidae
Description: HSALNT0343274
Source: RNAcentral
CACGGUCUCCCUCUCCCUCUCUUUCCACGGUCUCCCACUGAUGCCGAGCCAAAGCUGGACUGUACUGCUGCCAUCUCGGCUCACUGCAGCCUCCCUGCCUGAUUCUCCUGCCUCAGCCUGCCGAGUGCCUGCGAUUGCAGGCGCGCGCCACCACGCCUGACUGGUUUUCGUAUUUUUUUGGUGGAGACGGGGUUUCGCUGUGUUGGCCGGGCUGGUCUCCAGCUCCUAACUGCAAGUGAUCCGCCAGCCUCGGCCUCCUGAGGUGCCGGGAUUGCAGACGGAGUCUGGUUCACUCAGUGCUCAAUGGUGCCCAGGCUAGAGUGCAGUGGCGUGAUCUCGGCUCGCUACAACCUCCACCUCCCAGCCGCCUGCCUUGGCCUCCCAAAGUGCCAAGAUUGCAGCCUCUGCCCGGCCGCCACCCCGUCUGAGAAGUGAGGAGACCCUCCGCCUGGCAACCGCCCCAUAUGAGAAGUGAGGAGCCCCUCCGCCCGGCAGCCACCCCGUCUGGGAAGUGAGGAGCGUCUCUGCCCGGCACCCACCCCAUCCGGGAGGGAGGUGGGGGGAUCAGCCCCCCGCCCGGCCAGCCGCCCCGUCUGGGAGGGAGGUGGGGGGGUCAGCCCCCUGCCCGGCCAGCCACCCCGUCCGGGAGGUGAGGGGCGCCUCUGCCCGGCCGCCCCUACUGGGAAGUGAGGAUCCCCUCUGCCCGGCCAGCCGCCCCGUCCGGGAAGGAGGUGGGGGGGUCAGCCCCCCGCCCGGCCAGCCGCCCCAUCCGGGAGGAAGAUGGGGGGGUCAGCCCCCCACCCGGCCAGCCACCCCGUCCGGGAGGGAGGUGGGGGGGUCAGCUCCCCGCCCGGCCAGCCGCCCCGUCCGGGAGGUGAGGGGCGCCUCUGCCCGGCUGCCCCUACUGGGAAGUGAGGAGCCCCUCUGCCCAGCCACCACCCCGUCUGGGAGGUGUACCCAACAGCUCAUUGAGAACGGGCCAUGAUGACAAUGGCGGUUUUGUGGAAUAGAAAGGGGGGAAAGGCGGGGAAAGGAUUGAGAAAUCGGGUGGUUGCCAUGUCUGUGUAGAAAGAGGUAGACACGGGAGACUUUUCAUUUUGUUCUGUACUAAGAAAAAUUCUUCUGCCUUGUGAUCCUGUUGAUCGGUGACCCUACCCCCAACCCUGUGCUCUCUGAAACAUGUGCUGUGUCCACUCAGGGUUAAAUGGAUUAAGAGUGGUGCAAGAUGUGCUUUGUUAAACAGAUGCUUGAAGGCAGCAUGCUCGUUAAGAGUCAUCACCACUCCCUAAUCUCAAGUACCCAGGGACACAAACACUGCGGAAGGCCGCAGGGUCCUCUGCAUAGGAAAACCAGAGACCUUUGUUCACUUGUUUAUCUGCUGACCCUCCCUCCACUAUUGUCCUAUGACCCUGCCAAAUCCCCCUCUGUGAGAAACACCCAAGAAUGAUCAAUAAAAAAAAAUUUAAAAAAAACAAAAAAAAAAACAAAGAGUAUUAGGGUCUAGAAUCAAACCAUCCACAUAAUUUUUGGCAAACUGCUUAAAAUAUCAGAGCUUGAGUUUAUUCAUCUGUAAAUCAGAGCUGCUACAAAACUUUCAUAAGAUAUUUAAUAGAGCACAAAUGUAGGACAAAUGUCCACCAUAUGUUAAGUUCUCAGAAAACUGCUGUUACACUACUUCUACUUUAAAUCCAAUCUUUUUUCCAAAAAGGAGAGAUCUGCAAAGUACAAAGUAGGUGGCUACAGACUUACACUUAGACCCAUCUACAGGCAGCUAGGUUAUAUGCCAAAUAAAAAAAAAAAUCUCAUGCAUGAGGGCUGUGAAUAGUUAAGCAAAUGAACAAAAAAUCUUCACCAGGCACUGUGGCUCAUGUCUGUAAUCCCAGCACUUUGGAGGCUGAGGUGGGAGGAUGGCUUGAGUUCCAGACCAGCCUGGGCAACACAGCGAGGCCCCGCCUCCAAAAAUAUUUAUAAAAAUUAGCCAGGCAUAGUAGCACCUAGCUACUCAGGAGGCUGAGACAGGAGGACUGCUUGAGUUCAGGAGUGUCAGGUUACAAUGAGCUAUGAUUGCACCACUGCACUCCAGCCUGCAUGACAGAGCGAGGCCAUGUCUCAAAAAAAGUUGUAAAAGUAAAAUCAGUCAAUCAAUUUUAUCUUCCAUUUAAACAGGAACAAUAUUGCAAAUUUCUGUCCUUUACUGAUGGCAACUAUGCAAAAAUUUUAAGACAUGUAAGAUCCACACAUGAUUAUAAUAAAAACCUGUGAGGGCCACAUCAUAACCGUACGUAUGCAAAGAGCACACAACUCAAAGGGGAGCAAUUUACACAGAGUCUAACAGCACCCAGGGAGUUAAUUAAGCAGUGCUAUCUUUUCUGUGAGAUGGGGGUCUCACUCUGUCGCCCAGGAUGGAGUGCAAUGGUGCCAUCACAGCUCACUGCAGCCUCAUUCUCUUGGGUGCAAACGAUCUUCCCACCUCCAAGUAGCUGGGGCCACAGGUGUGGCACCACCACGCCCUGCUAAGUUUUUUUGUAGAAACGAGUUCUCACUAUGUUGCCCAGGCUGGUCUCCAACUCCCAGCCUCAAGCUAUCUGCCC